Molecule: ribosomal RNA, 600 nt
Filed under: Triticum aestivum (bread wheat)
Lineage: Eukaryota; Viridiplantae; Streptophyta; Magnoliopsida; Poales; Poaceae
Description: partial small subunit ribosomal RNA
Source: RNAcentral
AUGGCAAUGUUUCUUCGCCAUCAAAAACCCCACCUUCCGCAGGCUGCACGCCGCCAGCCAAGCCGUCGCGACGGCGCCGUCGGAGGUGCUGCUCGUGUCGGAGCGUCAGGACAAGCACCGCUGCUUCGUCAAGACCAGCAUCAACGUCUCGCUGCAAAAGCCCAUGUGCCGCAUUUCCUUGCCGCCGGAGUACCACCUUACCAACGGCUGCGGGUGUUCCUCUGCUUUGCGCCAGCGACAAUGCACAUGGAGGGGUGGCCAGUGUUCAUGUGCAACCCCAUCACCGGCGAGAGGCUGCCACUCCCCAGGCCGCCUAUGUGCGGCUUGGACGAUCUCUUCGCCUUGGGAUUCAGCCCGUCCACCCAGGAGCUCAAGCUGUUUCGGUAUACUGGAACAGGGUUAAUGACGACUGAUAAUAACAAAUACCUGGACGUAUACACCUUGGGAGAGCCCAGCGGGUGGCGCCAACGCCCCAACCUCUCCCGGCACAGCCCCGUGCAUGGCAGCCAUCGGCCGGUGCUCGUCGACGGCAAGCUAUAUGUGCUGAUUGACAGGAACGAUAGAGAUGGCAGACGGAAUUUGCAGGAUACUGGUGAUUGA